Molecule: ribosomal RNA, 406 nt
Filed under: uncultured bacterium
Lineage: Bacteria
Description: partial 16S ribosomal RNA
Rfam family: Bacterial small subunit ribosomal RNA
Source: RNAcentral
GACGAACGCUGGCGGCGCGCUUAACACAUGCAAGUCGAGCGAAGCGGCGGACGGGUGAGUAACACGUGAGUUACCUGCCUGAGACAUUGAGAUAGCCUCGGGAAAUGGGGAUUAAUACCAAAUGGUCUAAGAUGGACUCGCGUCCCAUUAGCUAGUUGGUGGGUAACGGCCCACCAAGGCGACGAUGGGUAGCCGGCCCGAGAGGCUGAACGGCGACAUUGGAAGUGAGAAACAGUCCAAACUCUACGGGAGGCAGCAGUGGCGAAUAGUGCACAAUGGAGGGAGCUCUGAUGCGGCGACGCCGCGUGAACGAAGAAGUCUUUCGAGACGUAAAGCUCUUUUAUAUGGGAAGCGGUACCAUAAGAAAAAGCCCCGGCUAACUACGUGCCAGCAGCCGCGGUAAUUC